RNAcentral lists this ribosomal RNA (253 nucleotides) under uncultured bacterium. Its description in RNAcentral is "partial 16S ribosomal RNA". It matches the Rfam family "Bacterial small subunit ribosomal RNA", at positions 524 to 776 of the family's 1533-position model. The record is from RNAcentral.
GACGUAGGGCGCAAGCGUUGUCCGGAUUUAUUGGGCGUAAAGAGCUCGUAGGCGGCCUGUCGCGUCGACCGUGAAAACUCACAGCUUAACUGUGGGCGUGCGGGCGAUACGGGCAGACUGGAGUACUGCAGGGGAGACUGGAAUUCCUGGUGUAGCGGUGGAAUGCGCAGAUAUCAGGAGGAACACCGGUGGCGAAGGCGGGUCUCUGGGCAGUAACUGACGCUGAGGCGCGAAAGCGUGGGGAGCAAACAGG